Molecule: long non-coding RNA, 227 nt
Filed under: Gallus gallus (chicken)
Lineage: Eukaryota; Metazoa; Chordata; Aves; Galliformes; Phasianidae
Description: long non-coding RNA NONGGAT004632
Source: RNAcentral
GGCGACAUGGUUUCACAGUGAUGCCUUGCUCCAUUUGGAGACUGGACUGGAGGCUUGUGGAGGCAUUUCAGAUCCUGUCAGCAACCUGGAGAGGGAAAAAUCAUCAUUAGCUGGAGCAGGAGGCAGCAGAUGGACUGAUCCCAACUGCUCAGAAGAUGGAUGGCUGUAUCACAGAUCAGUAUCAGAUCCUGACGUAACACUGAAGAGCUGUUCCUCCCCCAGUUCCU